Molecule: ribosomal RNA, 269 nt
Filed under: uncultured prokaryote
Description: partial 16S ribosomal RNA
Rfam family: Bacterial small subunit ribosomal RNA
Source: RNAcentral
GACGAAGGUGGCAAGCGUUACUCGGAAUUACUGGGCUUAAAGAGGACGUAGGCGGUCCGGCCAGUCGGAUGUGAAAUCCCUUGGCUCAACUGAGGAAUGGCAUUCGAUACUACCGGACUUGAGGUGCUCAGGGGCGAGUGGAACUCUCGGUGGAGCGGUGAAAUGCGUAGAUGUCGAGAGGAACGCCAAUGGUGAAGACAGCUCGCUGGGGGUAUCCUGACGCUGAGGUCCGAAAGCUAGGGGAGCAAACGGGAUUAGAUACCCUCGUA